RNAcentral lists this transfer RNA (67 nucleotides) under Marmota monax (woodchuck). Its description in RNAcentral is "tRNA.Undet". The stretch from base 6 to 63 matches the Rfam family "tRNA", at positions 7 to 64 of the family's 71-position model. Rfam says of the family: Transfer RNA (tRNA) molecules are approximately 80 nucleotides in length. Their secondary structure includes four short double-helical elements and three loops (D, anti-codon, and T loops). Lineage: Eukaryota; Metazoa; Chordata; Mammalia; Rodentia; Sciuridae. The record is from RNAcentral.
GGGAUGUGGCUCAGUGAUAGAGUGCUUGCCUGACACCAGGAGGCCCUGGGUUCAAUCCCCAGCCCUG